GAUGAACGCUAGCGGCAGGCCUAACACAUGCAAGUCGUGGGGUAGCAGGAUAGCAAUAUCGCUGACGACCGGCGCACGGGUGAGUAAGGCAUAUGCAACCUUCCUCUGACUGGGGGAUAGCCCGGAGAAAUUCGGAUUAAUACCCCAUAACAUCAUGAGAGGGCAUCUUUUUAUGAUUAAAGCUCCGGCGGUUAAAGAUGGGCAUGCGUACCAUUAGCUAGUUGGUGAGGUAACGGCUCACCAAGGCUACGAUGGUUAGGGGGUCUGAGAGGAUGAUCCCCCA
Molecule: ribosomal RNA, 283 nt
Filed under: uncultured Bacteroidota bacterium
Lineage: Bacteria; Pseudomonadati; Bacteroidota
Description: uncultured Bacteroidetes bacterium partial 16S ribosomal RNA
Rfam family: Bacterial small subunit ribosomal RNA
Source: RNAcentral